GAUGAACGCUGGCGGCGUGCCUAAUACAUGCAAGUCGAGCGAACGGACGAGAAGCUUGCUUUUCUGAUGUUAGCGGCGGACGGGCGAGUAACACGUGGAUAACCUACCUAUAAGACUGGGAUAACUUCGGGAAACCGGAGCUAAUACCGGAUAAUAUUUUGAACCGCAUGGUUCAAAAGUGAAAGACGGUCUUGCUGUCACUUAUAGAUGGAUCCGCGCUGCAUUAGCUAGUUGGUAAGGUAACGGCUUACCAAGGCAACGAUGCAUAGCCGACCUGAGAGGGUGAUCGGCCACACUGGAACUGAGACACGGUCCAGACUCCUACGGGAGGCAGCAGUAGGGAAUCUUCCGCAAUGGGCGAAAGCCUGACGGAGCAACGCCGCGUGAGUGAUGAAGGUCUUCGGAUCGUAAAACUCUGUUAUUAGGGAAGAACAUAUGUGUAAGUAACUGUGCACAUCUUGACGGUACCUAAUCAGAAAGCCACGGCUAGCUACGUG
Molecule: ribosomal RNA, 497 nt
Filed under: uncultured bacterium
Lineage: Bacteria
Description: partial 16S ribosomal RNA
Rfam family: Bacterial small subunit ribosomal RNA
Source: RNAcentral